This 492-nucleotide ribosomal RNA is filed under the name uncultured bacterium. Its description in RNAcentral is "partial 16S ribosomal RNA". It matches the Rfam family "Bacterial small subunit ribosomal RNA", at positions 29 to 507 of the family's 1533-position model. The record is from RNAcentral.
AGUGAACGCUGGCGGUAGGCCUAAUACAUGCAAGUCGAACGGCAGCACAGUAAGAGCUUGCUCUUACGGGUGGCGAGUGGCGGACGGGUGAGGAAUACUUCGGAAUCUACUUUUUCGUGGGGGAUAACGUAGGGAAACUUACGCUAAUACCGCAUACGACCUACGGGUGAAAGCAGGGGAUCUUCGGACCUUGCGCGAUUGAAUGAGCCGAUGUCGGAUUAGCUAGUUGGCGGGGUAAAGGCCCACCAAGGCGACGAUCCGUAGCUGGUCUGAGAGGAUGAUCAGCCACACUGGAACUGAGACACGGUCCAGACUCCUACGGGAGGCAGCAGUGGGGAAUAUUGGACAAUGGGCGCAAGCCUGAUCCAGCCAUACCGCGUGGGUGAAGAAGGCCUUCGGGUUGUAAAGCCCUUUUGUUGGGAAAGAAAAGCAGCAGGUUAAUACCCCGCUGUUCUGACGGUACCCAAAGAAUAAGCACCGGCUAACUUCGUG